Molecule: non-coding RNA, 20 nt
Filed under: Arabidopsis thaliana (thale cress)
Lineage: Eukaryota; Viridiplantae; Streptophyta; Magnoliopsida; Brassicales; Brassicaceae
Source: RNAcentral
UGAAUGUCCUGGACAGUUGU